AAAACCCUCAAGCACAGCUUGGUGUUGGGCGUCUUGUCCCGCCUCCGGCGCGGACUCGCCUCAAAAGCAUUGGCGGCCUGUGUAUUGGCUUCGAGCGCAGCAGACUAGCGCCUCGUCCCCUCUGCCACGGGCGUCCAUCAAGAACGCAACCCAAU
Molecule: unclassified non-coding RNA, 155 nt
Filed under: uncultured Phoma
Lineage: Eukaryota; Fungi; Ascomycota
Description: sequence contains ITS2
Source: RNAcentral